ACAUGGGCCUUUGCUCUCUACUUUUUCUUUCACCAUCUGUCAUCUUGGAAGAUGUCGCCAGCUCUGUCCCGGGAAAAAAAUCGACCAUGUGUGCUUCUGGAUUUCUAUGAUGCCCACGAUGUAUGGCAUUUCCUGUCUGCUAUCAGCAUGUUCUUUUCUUUCCUGAUCUUGCUGACUUUAGAUGACGACAUAACUCUACAGCCUCGAAACAAAAUCCCUGUCUUCUGAGAUUACUUGGUGCCUGGCUGGAUAAACACAUUGUACAUGUGUGUUUCGACAAGGAUAAGGAAUGUCUGAGAGUUUGUGUAUAUGUGGGUGGUGAAGAAGUGGUGUGCCAUGGACUGGUUAUGCAUAUGUUGAAAGUUGAGAUACAUACAGCUACUGUUAACUUAAGCUAUUUUUUUUAUUUGUAUUUUAUAUUUCAUUUUAAAGGAUGUAAAUUGAAUCCUUUAAAAGAGCAUGUUACUCAUACUAAGUGCAUGCAACUUUGGAAAUCUUUGAAAGAUGUAAUGUCCCCUUCUCUCUUGUUAAAGUUUGCCCCGAUAUUCAACCUUGCAUAAUCUACUCUGUGGCACUAUAUAAUCUAUAUCAGUUUAUCAGAUUGUCAUCAGUGCCACAGAGUAGAGAAUGAUAUUCUCCUCCUGAAGAAUUUCUCUUAACAUUUUUAACUUCAUUUGGUAUUUCC
Molecule: long non-coding RNA, 685 nt
Organism: Pomacea canaliculata
Lineage: Eukaryota; Metazoa; Mollusca; Gastropoda; Architaenioglossa; Ampullariidae
Exons: 3
Source: RefSeq, a predicted model, not a curated record